This 763-nucleotide ribosomal RNA is filed under the name uncultured Arcobacter sp. RNAcentral describes it as "bacterial SSU rRNA". It matches the Rfam family "Bacterial small subunit ribosomal RNA", at positions 578 to 1339 of the family's 1533-position model. The record is from RNAcentral. Lineage: Bacteria; Pseudomonadati; Campylobacterota; Epsilonproteobacteria; Campylobacterales; Arcobacteraceae.
GGUAGUUAAGUCAGAAGUGAAAUCCAAUAGCUCAACUAUUGAACUGCUUUUGAAACUGAUUACCUAGAAUAUGGGAGAGGUAGGUGGAAUUUCUGGUGUAGGGGUAAAAUCCGUAGAGAUCAGAAGGAAUACCGAUUGCGAAGGCGAUCUACUGGAACAUUAUUGACGCUGAGACGCGAAAGCGUGGGGAGCAAACAGGAUUAGAUACCCUGGUAGUCCACGCCCUAAACGAUGUACACUAGUUGUUGUGAGGCUCGACCUUGCAGUAAUGCAGUUAACACAUUAAGUGUACCGCCUGGGGAGUACGGUCGCAAGAUUAAAACUCAAAGGAAUAGACGGGGACCCGCACAAGCGGUGGAGCAUGUGGUUUAAUUCGACGAUACACGAAGAACCUUACCUGGACUUGACAUAGUAAGAACUUUCUAGAGAUAGAUUGGUGUCUGCUUGCAGAAACUUAUAUACAGGUGCUGCACGGCUGUCGUCAGCUCGUGUCGUGAGAUGUUGGGUUAAGUCCCGCAACGAGCGCAACCCUCGUCAUUAGUUGCUAACAGUUCGGCUGAGAACUCUAAUGAGACUGCCUACGCAAGUAGGAGGAAGGUGAGGACGACGUCAAGUCAUCAUGGCCCUUACGUCCAGGGCUACACACGUGCUACAAUGGGGUAUACAAAGAGCCGCAAUACGGUGACGUGGAGCAAAUCUCAAAAAUAUCUCCCAGUUCGGAUUGUAGUCUGCAACUCGACUACAUGAAGUUGGAAUCGCUAGU